This 253-nucleotide ribosomal RNA is filed under the name uncultured bacterium. RNAcentral's name for it is "partial 16S ribosomal RNA". It matches the Rfam family "Bacterial small subunit ribosomal RNA", at positions 524 to 776 of the family's 1533-position model. The record is from RNAcentral.
UACGUAGGGGGCAAGCGUUGUCCGGAAUCAUUGGGCGUAAAGAGCGCGUAGGCGGCCUUGUAAGUCCGCUGUGAAAGUCAAGGGCUCAACCCUUGAAUGCCGGUGGAUACUGCAGGGCUAGAGUCCGGAAGAGGCGAGUGGAAUUCCUGGUGUAGCGGUGAAAUGCGUAGAUAUCGAGAGGAACACCUGCGGCGAAGGCGGGUUGCUGGGCUGAUACUGACGCUGAGGCGCGAAAGCCAGGGGAGCGAACGGG